GAUGAACGCUGGCGGCGUGCCUAAUACAUGCAAGUCGAGCGAACAGACGAGGAGCUUGCUCCUUUGACGUUAGCGGCGGACGGGUGAGUAACACGUAGGUAACCUACCUAUAAGACUGGGAUAACUUCGGGAAACCGGAGCUAAUACCGGAUAAUAUUUCGAACCGCAUGGUUCGAUAGUGAAAGAUGGCUUUGCUAUCACUUAUAGAUGGACCUGCGCCGUAUUAGCUAGUUGGUAAGGUAACGGCUUACCAAGGCAACGAUACGUAGCCGACCGGAGAGGGGUAUCGGCCACACUGGACCUGGGACACGGUCCAGACUCCUACGGGAGGAAGCAGUAGGGAAUCUUCCGCAAUGGGCGCAAGCCUGACGGAGCAACGCCGCGUGAGUGAUGAAGGUCUUCGGAUCGUAAAACUCUGUUAUUAGGGAAGAACAAACGUGUAAGUAACUGUGCACGUCUUGACGGUACCUAAUCAGAAAGCCACGGCUAACUACGUGCCAGCCGCCGCCGUAA
RNAcentral lists this ribosomal RNA (513 nucleotides) under uncultured bacterium. Its description in RNAcentral is "partial 16S ribosomal RNA". It matches the Rfam family "Bacterial small subunit ribosomal RNA", at positions 28 to 523 of the family's 1533-position model. The record is from RNAcentral.